CCUCCCUCAGCUCUGGCAAUCACACAGGUCCAGUGUGUGCAUGGUGGAUUUUUAAGCAAGAGAAGAGAGAGGAUGACAUUCCUAAUGCAUUACCGACCUGCCCCAAAGUGGCUUCUCUGUUCCUAAGGAGUUCAUCAGCU
Small nucleolar RNA from Cricetulus griseus (Chinese hamster), 140 nucleotides. Ensembl annotates it as small nucleolar RNA SNORA64/SNORA10 family. Lineage: Eukaryota; Metazoa; Chordata; Mammalia; Rodentia; Cricetidae. The record is from Ensembl.